This 403-nucleotide ribosomal RNA is filed under the name Staphylococcus pseudintermedius. Its description in RNAcentral is "bacterial SSU rRNA". It matches the Rfam family "Bacterial small subunit ribosomal RNA", at positions 80 to 470 of the family's 1533-position model. Lineage: Bacteria; Bacillati; Bacillota; Bacilli; Caryophanales; Staphylococcaceae. The record is from RNAcentral.
GCUCCUUUGACGUUAGCGGCGGACGGGUGAGUAACACGUGGGUAACCUACCUAUAAGACUGGAAUAACUCCGGGAAACCGGGGCUAAUGCCGGAUAACAUGUUGAACCGCAUGGUUCUACAGUGAAAGACGGUCUUGCUGUCACUUAUAGAUGGACCCGCGCCGUAUUAGCUAGUUGGUGGGGUAACGGCCUACCAAGGCGACGAUACGUAGCCGACCUGAGAGGGUGAUCGGCCACACUGGAACUGAGACACGGUCCAGACUCCUACGGGAGGCAGCAGUAGGGAAUCUUCCGCAAUGGGCGAAAGCCUGACGGAGCAACGCCGCGUGAGUGAUGAAGGUCUUCGGAUCGUAAAGCUCUGUUGUUAGGGAAGAACAAAUGUGUAAGUAACUGUGCACAUCUU